Molecule: ribosomal RNA, 253 nt
Filed under: uncultured bacterium
Lineage: Bacteria
Description: partial 16S ribosomal RNA
Rfam family: Bacterial small subunit ribosomal RNA
Source: RNAcentral
UACGAAGGGUGCAAACGUUGCUCGGAAUCAUUGGGCGUAAAGCGCACGUAGGCGGCUUCGCAAGUCGGAUGUGAAAUACCUAGGCUCAACCAAGGACGUGCAUCCGAAACUGCGAGGCUUGAGUACAGAAGAGGAUCGCGGAAUUCCCGGUGUAGAGGUGAAAUUCGUAGAUAUCGGGAGGAACACCAGUGGCGAAGGCGGCGACCUGGGUAGAUACUGACGCUGAGGUGCGAAAGCGUGGGGAGCAAACAGG